GAUAAGUGUCACUUGACCUCAGGGCACAUUCCAGAAUGAGGCCACAGCCAAGAAUAGGACCCAGGAACCCUGCCGCCCAUCCCGCCUAUAUUAAUCACACAUUCCCAGAGCGGGAGAGAGACUUCAGACUCCUUGAGGAAGUGGGAGGAGGACGACGAGACGGCAUCAGGAAGUAGAGUUGGGGGAAAGCGGGAACACCCCGGAGAAGCCCCUCCACAGCCUGUGGCCUCCCAGGGCACCUUGUGGCCCCUGGUCCCAGGACCAUCAGUUCAUCCAGAGAGUCCCUUGUCAGCCGUGGGGAAUGGGCUCCCGCAGACCUCUGGGCCCCCGCCCCCCGGCAGUACUUCCGGCCUGGGUGGCGCACGCGCAGAAGCAGACAGACAACGGAAGGGUCUUGCUGCGGCCAGGGGACAGCAGAGGCUCCCCGGAGGAUCUGGGUCCAGGAGGAUGAGUAGGCAUAAGGCUGAUGUCUCCCUCAGGAAUGUAGGCCAUGACUGCUUCUGUGUGUGAUCAAGAUAUCAUGUCACAGGACAAGGUCAGAAGCCAGCCCUGGGGAGGCUGAUGGGAGGCAGGCUCUUGGGAGAGGUUUGGGGCCCUGAUGGGACUCCACACUGCCCAGCCCGGAGCGGGGUGUACGGGCGGGCUGUCUGGGCACACGUGCAUGUGUGCACACGUGCGUGUCACACACUGAGAGAAGCCAACCGCCUGUAUUCAAGUCUUGGCUCUGUCACGUGGCCGCUGGGUGAUCUCGGGUAAGUUUCACGUCCCCUCCAGCCUCAGUUUCCCCAAACACAGAAUAGCGUUCUGUCCUGUAGAGUCCUGACGGAGACAAGAGAUGACGACUGGUGCCUGUCCCAUGGUGAGAAGCCGCUCAGUGUUGAUGUUCCAACAGUAGAGUUGGACACUGGGCGCUCCGCCCCCCCCCAACCCCCCGCCUGAGGAAAUCGCCAUGCGGCUGUGUGUUUGUUCUCCUCCUUUCUUCCUCAGGUUCCGCCCCUGGUCCUGGCUCUCUGGUCCCGCUGUCCAGGGGGUGACAUCAGACUAUGGAGCAGCUGGGCAGACAAUGGAGCAGAGUGUCCUAGGAGGCUGGAGGUGAGGACACAAAGGCGCAGAGAGACACCGGGGAAGUGUCGGAGACCAGAUGCAGACCAAGAUCCUGGGGCUUCUAUCUGCUUUCUGUCCAAAGAGGCCAGUGGGAGAUGAAAGCUCACUCUCCAUCAGAUGGGACCAUUUGACAGCUGGGAAGACCAGCUAUAGGACCUCGCGCAGCUUCCUGACCCGCCGGCUGCUGGAGGCGCCCACGAAACUCUCUGGCCGCAGCACGGCCAUGCCGCCGUCCACCUCGCCCAUGAUGAUGAGCGGCGUCUCGCCUGCCGUCACGUUGGGGCAGGGAC
Lutra lutra (Eurasian river otter) is the source of this 1394-nucleotide long non-coding RNA. RefSeq lists it as uncharacterized. The transcript has 4 exons. NCBI's taxonomy places the organism in Eukaryota, Metazoa, Chordata, Mammalia, Carnivora, Mustelidae. The record is from RefSeq and is a predicted model, not a curated record.